Molecule: transfer RNA, 74 nt
Filed under: Ictidomys tridecemlineatus (thirteen-lined ground squirrel)
Lineage: Eukaryota; Metazoa; Chordata; Mammalia; Rodentia; Sciuridae
Description: Spermophilus tridecemlineatus (thirteen-lined ground squirrel) tRNA
Rfam family: tRNA
About the family: Transfer RNA (tRNA) molecules are approximately 80 nucleotides in length. Their secondary structure includes four short double-helical elements and three loops (D, anti-codon, and T loops).
Source: Rfam by way of RNAcentral
UGGGAUGUAACUUAGUUGUUAAGAAUGCUUGCCUUCAAUGCACAAGGUCCUGGGUUUAAUCCCCAGCAUCACAG